UUUCAAACUUUCUAGUGCUUUGUUUCUAAAAGCUGCUUAAGAAAUAAUUGUUAUACUAUAAAUAUUAAGUAAAAUACAAUAAAUUUUAGGCCGGGUGAAUAAAAUUAAGCAAUAGACCUUUUCGCUAACUUUAUUUUAAGUUUGGCAGAAUACUCCAGAUAUGAUGCGAUGUAAAACUUCAUAAAAAUUUCGAGCACUUUGUUUACGUUUAUUUUAAUAAUGGAGUCAACAUUAAUUUACAACAAAUAACAUAAUAAACAAUUAAAGACCGACUCAAGUUUUUUAUAUUUUUUAAUAAUUAAGUUAGCAUUAAUUUUAAGUAAAAAAUGUCAAUGUGUUGUGCUGUAAAAGGAUGCUUAAAUAGCUCAUGAAUAUUAAAAAAAUGGUUACAGGCAGAUUGCAAGCAACAUCAUUGCAAAAGACAAGCUAACGAGUGUUCUUGUUCACAACCGUUUCGACUUUAUCCAUUUCCAACAGCAAAGAAAAACUUAGUG
Long non-coding RNA from Hydra vulgaris (swiftwater hydra), 494 nucleotides. RefSeq lists it as uncharacterized. The record is from RefSeq and is a predicted model, not a curated record. Lineage: Eukaryota; Metazoa; Cnidaria; Hydrozoa; Anthoathecata; Hydridae.